RNAcentral lists this ribosomal RNA (459 nucleotides) under uncultured beta proteobacterium. RNAcentral describes it as "bacterial SSU rRNA". It matches the Rfam family "Bacterial small subunit ribosomal RNA", at positions 341 to 792 of the family's 1533-position model. Lineage: Bacteria; Pseudomonadati; Pseudomonadota; Betaproteobacteria. The record is from RNAcentral.
ACGGAAGGCAGCAGUGGGGAAUUUUGGACAAUGGGGGCAACCCUGAUCCAGCCAUGCCGCGUGAGUGAAGAAGGCCUUCGGGUUGUAAAGCUCUUUCGGCGGGGACGAAACGGUUCGUGACAACACCACGGACUAAUGACGGUACUCGCAGAAGAAGCACCGGCUAACUACGUGCCAGCAGCCGCGGUAAUACGUAGGGUGCAGGCGUUAAUCGGAAUUACUGGGCGUAAAGCGUGCGCAGGCGGCUCCUUAAGUCAGAUGUGAAAUCCCCGGGCUUAACCUGGGAACUGCGUUUGAAACUGGGGAGCUAGAGUGUGGAAGAGGGGGGUGGAAUUCCAGGUGUAGCAGUGAAAUGCGUAGAUAUCUGGAGGAACACCGAUGGCGAAGGCAGCCCCCUGGGCUAACACUGACGCUCAUGCACGAAAGCGUGGGGAGCAAACAGGAUUAGAUACCCUGGUA